RNAcentral lists this ribosomal RNA (460 nucleotides) under uncultured bacterium. RNAcentral's name for it is "partial 16S ribosomal RNA". It matches the Rfam family "Bacterial small subunit ribosomal RNA", at positions 338 to 795 of the family's 1533-position model. The record is from RNAcentral.
CCUACGGGAGGCAGCAGUGAGGAAUAUUGGUCAAUGGACGAGAGUCUGAACCAGCCAAGUAGCGUGAAGGAUGACUGCCCUAUGGGUUGUAAACUUCUUUUAUAAAGGAAUAAAAUGAGGCAUGUGUGCCUCUUUGCAUGUACUUUAUGAAUAAGGAUCGGCUAACUCCGUGCCAGCAGCCGCGGUAAUACGGAGGAUCCGAGCGUUAUCCGGAUUUAUUGGGUUUAAAGGGAGCGUAGAUGGGUUGUUAAGUCAGUUGUGAAAGUUUGCGGCUCAACCGUAAAAUUGCAAUUGAUACUGGCAGUCUUGAGUACAGUUGAGGUAGGCGGAAUUCGUGGUGUAGCGGUGAAAUGCUUAGAUAUCACGAAGAACCCCGAUUGCGAAGGCAGCUUACUAAACUGUAACUGACAUUGAUGCUCGAAAGUGUGGGUAUCAAACAGGAUUAGAUACCCUUGUAGUC